AAUAGAUACCCGGGUAGUCCAUGCCGUAAACGAUGUCUACUAGCCGUUGGGGUCUUUGAGACUUUAGUGGCGCAGCUAACGCGAUAAGUAGACCGCCUGGGGAGUACGGUCGCAAGACUAAAACUCAAAUGAAUUGACGGGGGCCCGCACAAGCGGUGGAGCAUGUGGUUUAAUUCGAUGCAACGCGAAGAACCUUACCUGGUCUUGACAUAGUAAGAACUUUCCAGAGAUGGAUUGGUGCCUUCGGGAACUUACAUACAGGUGCUGCAUGGCUGUCGUCAGCUCGUGUCGUGAGAUGUUGGGUUAAGUCCCGCAACGAGCGCAACCCUUUUCCUACUUGCCAGCAUUUCGGAUGGGAACUUUAAGGAUACUGCCAGUGACAAACUGGAGGAAGCGGGGACGACGUCAAGUCAUCAUGGCCCUUACGACCAGGGCUACACACGUGCUACAAUGGUCGGUACAAAGGGUUGCUACCUAGCGAUAGGAUGCUAAUCUCAAAAAGCCGAUCGUAGUCCGGAUUGGAGU
This 525-nucleotide ribosomal RNA is filed under the name uncultured bacterium. Its description in RNAcentral is "bacterial SSU rRNA". It matches the Rfam family "Bacterial small subunit ribosomal RNA", at positions 777 to 1304 of the family's 1533-position model. The record is from RNAcentral.